AUCCAGCUGACCAGUCCCAGACAGGACGAAACGUGAGUCAAAUUGAAU
Molecule: non-coding RNA, 48 nt
Organism: Schistosoma mattheei
Lineage: Eukaryota; Metazoa; Platyhelminthes; Trematoda; Strigeidida; Schistosomatidae
Source: Rfam